Molecule: ribosomal RNA, 253 nt
Filed under: uncultured bacterium
Lineage: Bacteria
Description: partial 16S ribosomal RNA
Rfam family: Bacterial small subunit ribosomal RNA
Source: RNAcentral
UACAGAGGUCUCAAGCGUUGUUCGGAUUCAUUGGGCGUAAAGGGUGCGUAGGCGGCGCGGUAAGUCGGGUGUGAAAUCUCGGGGCUUAACUCCGAAACUGCAUUCGAUACUGCGGUGCUUGAGGACUGGAGAGGAGACUGGAAUUUACGGUGUAGCAGUGAAAUGCGUAGAGAUCGUAAGGAAGACCAGUGGCGAAGGCGGGUCUCUGGAAAGUUCCUGACACUGAGGCACGAAGGCCAGGGGAGCAAACGGG